RNAcentral lists this transfer RNA (70 nucleotides) under Cordylochernes scorpioides. Its description in RNAcentral is "tRNA-OTHER". It matches the Rfam family "tRNA". From Rfam's summary of the family: Transfer RNA (tRNA) molecules are approximately 80 nucleotides in length. Their secondary structure includes four short double-helical elements and three loops (D, anti-codon, and T loops). Further hydrogen bonds mediate the characteristic L-shaped molecular structure. tRNAs have two regions of fundamental functional importance: the anti-codon, which is responsible for specific mRNA codon recognition, and the 3' end, to which the tRNAs corresponding amino acid is attached (by aminoacyl-tRNA synthetases). tRNAs cope with the degeneracy of the genetic code in two manners: having more than one tRNA (with a specific anti-codon) for a particular amino acid; and 'wobble' base-pairing, i.e. permitting non-standard base-pairing at the 3rd anti-codon position. The record is from RNAcentral. Lineage: Eukaryota; Metazoa; Arthropoda; Arachnida; Pseudoscorpiones; Chernetidae.
GCAUCGGUGGUUCAGUGGUAGAAUCCUCGCCUGCACGCGGGCGGCGCGGGUUCGAUUCCUGGCCGAUGCA